RNAcentral lists this ribosomal RNA (1443 nucleotides) under Klebsiella pneumoniae. RNAcentral's name for it is "bacterial SSU rRNA". It matches the Rfam family "Bacterial small subunit ribosomal RNA". The record is from RNAcentral. Lineage: Bacteria; Pseudomonadati; Pseudomonadota; Gammaproteobacteria; Enterobacterales; Enterobacteriaceae.
CCGGUGGGGGAGCUACACAUGCAAGUCGAGCGGUAGCACAGAGAGCUUGCUCUCGGGUGACGAGCGGCGGACGGGUGAGUAAUGUCUGGGAAACUGCCUGAUGGAGGGGGAUAACUACUGGAAACGGUAGCUAAUACCGCAUAACGUCGCAAGACCAAAGUGGGGGACCUUCGGGCCUCAUGCCAUCAGAUGUGCCCAGAUGGGAUUAGCUAGUAGGUGGGGUAACGGCUCACCUAGGCGACGAUCCCUAGCUGGUCUGAGAGGAUGACCAGCCACACUGGAACUGAGACACGGUCCAGACUCCUACGGGAGGCAGCAGUGGGGAAUAUUGCACAAUGGGCGCAAGCCUGAUGCAGCCAUGCCGCGUGUGUGAAGAAGGCCUUCGGGUUGUAAAGCACUUUCAGCGGGGAGGAAGGCGGUGAGGUUAAUAACCUUAUCGAUUGACGUUACCCGCAGAAGAAGCACCGGCUAACUCCGUGCCAGCAGCCGCGGUAAUACGGAGGGUGCAAGCGUUAAUCGGAAUUACUGGGCGUAAAGCGCACGCAGGCGGUCUGUCAAGUCGGAUGUGAAAUCCCCGGGCUCAACCUGGGAACUGCAUUCGAAACUGGCAGGCUAGAGUCUUGUAGAGGGGGGUAGAAUUCCAGGUGUAGCGGUGAAAUGCGUAGAGAUCUGGAGGAAUACCGGUGGCGAAGGCGGCCCCCUGGACAAAGACUGACGCUCAGGUGCGAAAGCGUGGGGAGCAAACAGGAUUAGAUACCCUGGUAGUCCACGCCGUAAACGAUGUCGAUUUGGAGGUUGUGCCCUUGAGGCGUGGCUUCCGGAGCUAACGCGUUAAAUCGACCGCCUGGGGAGUACGGCCGCAAGGUUAAAACUCAAAUGAAUUGACGGGGGCCCGCACAAGCGGUGGAGCAUGUGGUUUAAUUCGAUGCAACGCGAAGAACCUUACCUGGUCUUGACAUCCACAGAACUUUCCAGAGAUGGAUUGGUGCCUUCGGGAACUGUGAGACAGGUGCUGCAUGGCUGUCGUCAGCUCGUGUUGUGAAAUGUUGGGUUAAGUCCCGCAACGAGCGCAACCCUUAUCCUUUGUUGCCAGCGGUUAGGCCGGGAACUCAAAGGAGACUGCCAGUGAUAAACUGGAGGAAGGUGGGGAUGACGUCAAGUCAUCAUGGCCCUUACGACCAGGGCUACACACGUGCUACAAUGGCAUAUACAAAGAGAAGCGACCUCGCGAGAGCAAGCGGACCUCAUAAAGUAUGUCGUAGUCCGGAUUGGAGUCUGCAACUCGACUCCAUGAAGUCGGAAUCGCUAGUAAUCGUAGAUCAGAAUGCUACGGUGAAUACGUUCCCGGGCCUUGUACACACCGCCCGUCACACCAUGGGAGUGGGUUGCAAAAGAAGUAGGUAGCUUAACCUUCGGGAGGGCGCUACCACUUGGAUUCAGGGG